RNAcentral lists this ribosomal RNA (448 nucleotides) under uncultured bacterium. Its description in RNAcentral is "bacterial SSU rRNA". It matches the Rfam family "Bacterial small subunit ribosomal RNA", at positions 355 to 796 of the family's 1533-position model. The record is from RNAcentral.
UCGAGAAUUUUUCUCAAUGGGCGAAAGCCUGAAGGAGCGACGCCGCGUGGGGGAUGAAUGGCUUCGGCCCGUAAACCCCUGUCAUUUGCGAACAAACCUGCUCACUUAACACGUGUGUAGCUGAUUGUAGCGAAAGAGGAAGGGACGGCUAACUCUGUGCCAGCAGCCGCGGUAAUACAGAGGUCCCAAGCGUUGUUCGGAUUUACUGGGCGUAAAGGGUGCGUAGGUGGUGAGGUAAGUCUUAUGUGAAAGCUCGGAGCUUAACUCCGAAAUUGCAUAGGAAACUACUUUGCUGGAGGAUUGGAGGGGGGACUGGAAUACUUGGUGUAGCAGUGAAAUGCGUAGAUAUCAAGUGGAACACCAGUGGCGAAGGCGAGUCCCUGGACAAUUCCUGACACUGAGGCACGAAAGCUAGGGGAGCAAACGGGAUUAGAUACCCCGGUAGUCC